This 1969-nucleotide long non-coding RNA is filed under the name Pan troglodytes (chimpanzee). RNAcentral's name for it is "lincRNA". Lineage: Eukaryota; Metazoa; Chordata; Mammalia; Primates; Hominidae. The record is from RNAcentral.
ACAAACUUGCUGGAAAUGGAUGAGAAACCUUCUGCUCUGCUGGAGUUUAUCUUGAGUGUGCCUUAAAAUUCCAUUUCAUGGAGAACUGUGCGUGGUUGAAUUUUGAUUGAUUACUCAAUUAACUGAUGUAUUGGUAGAGUGAUUAAGAAAGAAGACUUUGGGAUCAGACCAACCUGGUUUUGAAUUCAAGCUCAGCAACUUACUAGGUAAGGAGGAGAAAAGAAAGAAGGAAAAAUUGGAAAGAUAAAUGGGGUCUUUCCAGUGAAGGCUCAAUUUUCCUACAUAAUUAAGAGUUUGGAAUUUGGGCAAUAUCAAGAACCACAUCUGUCCUGAAAUCAAUUAUCUCUGUUUGAAACACAAGAAAUAAGAAGACCAUUUUGAGAAGAACAGAGAGUAGCCUUAAGAAAAUCCCUGUCGCAAGCACUCUGGGAUUUGGACUCAAAUGCUAAUUAUACAGUCUAUAAUGAUGACUGGAAUAGGAAAUUCGGACAGCAAAAGUGGUCGCUUCUUAGGCUUCCUGCCAGAUUUUGAAAACCACUAUAACUAGUCGUUUCUGCCAAGAACCACUUGGGUGCCCAGCUGCUGUCCAUUCUCCACACUUAUCCCACCUGAUGGAACGCUGUUGAGAAAAACAUCACUGCAAUGCCUAAUAAACAGACAUGGGUCCCAGACCCAAUAAGAGUGAAACCAUCCCCCUAUUUAAAUGAUAUUAUGGCUGAUGAGAAAGACAAAUUAAUUUCUCUGUCCCUAGUAUUACACAAAACUUUGGAUACUGCCAUUGUUACAAUUUUAUUUUCCCCAGGAGCUCAGAGUCCCACCUUCAUUCUUUUUGUCUAAUGCUUAAGCUUGCCUGUCCACCUAUGGAAGACUAGAAUGAGCAAAGACCAUGUAUUCAAUGAUCUGUAAAUCUAACAGGAAAUAAUAUAAUAAAUAUAUUGUGUUUGCUAACCAAAUCUGUGAAUGAUUAGAUCGACUGGUUAAUGAUUAGAUGGAUUAACACAUCAUUUCUAUUUUCUCUCUCCUCCCCUACUUCUUGUUUUAAUGAUACCUUCCAAGUUUUAUUUCUCCAAGCCUAACCCCUUACAUAAUACAAGAGGACAACAGUUUGCAAAAUAAAUAUCUGUUGGCCCUAACUGGUAAAUACUGAAAUAGAUUUCAAGUAAUGUGAGUGUUUUUGAAACCACCUAAAUCUGUAAGCCACCCUGCAAGGAACAAGGGUAGCAAAGUGAAUAAGCCAGACAUGUAAAAAUAAAGAAAGAUGACAAAAUGGAAGGCAAUUAAUGCCUGUAAUGGAGGUGGGGAAGGGGGGAAUGACAAGUUAAUAAGAAAUUUAUUUUUAAAUGCUAUCUGCCAUAAAAUAUCCAUGCUUAUUUUAGAAAAUAUGUAAAAUGUUUAAGAAUUAAACAUCUUUAAAAAAAUCACAUGAACUCAUCACCCUGCAACAAAACACACACAGAUGAGUGCACACACUUAAACACACAUUAAUUUUCAAUUAGUAUAUAAAGUUAAUAUCCUGCUAAGUACAAGAUACUAUAUCAUGAGCAUUUUGUCUCGCCAAUAUUCUAUGAAAACAUAAUUAUAAUUAUUACAGAAUAUUCUGGAAAGUGAAUAUACCAUGAUUUAUCCAGUCAUUUCCCUAUUAACACACAUUUUGUGAUUCCAAUUUAUCACUGCCACACAGUAUUUUCUUAAAUAACCUCACUUAUAAGUUUUGUUUGAACGUUUUUAUUAUUUUCUAUUUAAUAUAAUGUUAAUAUAAUGUUAUAUAAUAUAAUGUUAUAAUGUUAGGGUUUUACUAUAUAAGGUGUAUACAUUAUUUUAACGCUCUUUCCACUGGACGCCCAAAGCCCUCAGUAAGUUUAGUGAAUAACAGUAGAAUGCCCAAAUUUUUGAAAGUUUUUCUCUUCCUUAAUUUUUAGCAUUUUGCACUAUAUUUUAUUUUGAAUAAAUUAAAGAACUCAUUUAAAGU